GAUCAUGGCUCAGAUUGAGCGCUGGCGGCAGGCUUAACACAUGCAAAUCGAACGGUAACAUAAAGAAGCUUGCUUCUUUGAUGACGAGUGGCGGACGGGUGAGUAAUGCUUGGGAAUCUAGCUUAUGGAGGGGGAUAACUACGGGAAACUGUAGCUAAUACCGCGUAAUAUCGAGAGAUUAAAGUGUGGGACCUUCGGGCCACAUGCCAUAAGAUGAGCCCAAGUGGGAUUAGGUAG
RNAcentral lists this ribosomal RNA (237 nucleotides) under uncultured bacterium. RNAcentral's name for it is "partial 16S ribosomal RNA". It matches the Rfam family "Bacterial small subunit ribosomal RNA", at positions 15 to 248 of the family's 1533-position model. The record is from RNAcentral.